RNAcentral lists this non-coding RNA (141 nucleotides) under Streptomyces sp. Its description in RNAcentral is "SAM-IV sequence". It matches the Rfam family "SAM (S-adenosyl methionine) riboswitch aptamer". From Rfam's summary of the family: SAM-IV is a mRNA element that regulates gene expression via direct sensing of S-adenosylmethionine (SAM or AdoMet). SAM-IV riboswitches share conserved nucleotide positions with the previously described SAM-I riboswitches sequence analysis and molecular recognition experiments suggest that SAM-I and SAM-IV riboswitches share similar ligand binding sites, but have different scaffolds. Lineage: Bacteria; Bacillati; Actinomycetota; Actinomycetes; Kitasatosporales; Streptomycetaceae. The record is from RNAcentral.
GGUCACGAUCGUCAGCGCCCGCGCGGCUCGUCCCGCGCGUGGUUCAUCGGCCCCGGCCCGCUGACAGGCAACCCUUCGACCGCGAUGGGGUGCCCCGGGUGACGACCUGGUCCCGCCACGGCGGCGGGACAAGCGCGGCCC